UUUUUUUUCCUCUUCUUGUUUUGUUUA
This 27-nucleotide small RNA is filed under the name Arabidopsis thaliana (thale cress). RNAcentral describes it as "ATSL296890". The record is from RNAcentral. Lineage: Eukaryota; Viridiplantae; Streptophyta; Magnoliopsida; Brassicales; Brassicaceae.